AGCAGCCGCGGUAAUUCCAGCUCCAAUAGCGUAUAUUAAAGUUGUUGCAGUUAAAAAGCUCGUAGUUGAAUUUCGGGAUUCUACCGUCGGUCGGGCUAACAAGUCUGUACUGGUGUGUAGAAUUUCUACCUUCUGGGGAACUAUCAUGUUAUUAAUUUAGCGUGGUAGGAAACCAGGACCUUUACCUUGAAAAAAUUAGAGUGUUCAAAGCAGGCUUACGUCUGAAUACAUUAGCAUGGAAUAAUAGAAUAGGACGGUGGUCCUGUUUUGUUGGUUUCUGAAUCACCGUAAUGAUUAAUAGGGAUAGUUGGGGGCAUUAGUAUUCAAUUGUCAGAGGUGAAAUUCUUGGAUUUAUUGAAGACUAACUUCUGCGAAAGCAUUUGCCAAGGAUGUUUUCAUUAAUCAAGAACGAAAGUUAGGGGAUCGAAGACGAUCAGAUACCGUCGUAGUCUUAACCAUAAACUAUGCCGACUAGGGAUCGGAUGAUGUUAAUUUUUUAAUGACUCAUUCGGCGCCUUACG
This 521-nucleotide ribosomal RNA is filed under the name uncultured Scutellospora. Its description in RNAcentral is "SSU rRNA". It matches the Rfam family "Eukaryotic small subunit ribosomal RNA", at positions 569 to 1092 of the family's 1831-position model. Lineage: Eukaryota; Fungi; Glomeromycota; Glomeromycetes; Diversisporales; Gigasporaceae. The record is from RNAcentral.